This 253-nucleotide ribosomal RNA is filed under the name uncultured bacterium. RNAcentral describes it as "partial 16S ribosomal RNA". It matches the Rfam family "Bacterial small subunit ribosomal RNA", at positions 524 to 776 of the family's 1533-position model. The record is from RNAcentral.
UACGUAGGGGGCUAGUGUUGUCCGGAAUCAUUGGGCGUAAAGCGCGUGUAGGUGGUCCGGUAAGUCCGCUGUGAAAGUCGGGGGCUCAACCCUCGAAUGCCGGUGGAUACUGUCGGGCUAGAGUGCGGAAGAGGCGAGUGGAAUUCCUGGUGUAGCGGUGAAAUGCGCAGAUAUCAGGAGGAACACCAAUUGCGAAGGCAGCUCGCUGGGACGUUACUGACGCUGAGACGCGAAAGCGUGGGGAGCAAACAGG